GGGAAGGUGGCUCAGUGGUAGAGCACUUGCCUUGCACGCAUGAAGCCCUGGGUUCGAUUCCUCAGCACCCU
Molecule: transfer RNA, 71 nt
Filed under: Dipodomys ordii (Ord's kangaroo rat)
Lineage: Eukaryota; Metazoa; Chordata; Mammalia; Rodentia; Heteromyidae
Rfam family: tRNA
About the family: Transfer RNA (tRNA) molecules are approximately 80 nucleotides in length. Their secondary structure includes four short double-helical elements and three loops (D, anti-codon, and T loops).
Source: Rfam by way of RNAcentral